Pantherophis guttatus is the source of this 289-nucleotide long non-coding RNA. RefSeq lists it as uncharacterized. The record is from RefSeq and is a predicted model, not a curated record. Lineage: Eukaryota; Metazoa; Chordata; Lepidosauria; Squamata; Colubridae.
CCUCAGUCCAAGACUUCAUUGUUUUAACCACAGGUUUUGCAGCUUUAAGUUUCUGUCUAUAAACAGAUUACGUACUUAUUUAUUUUAAACCUGGAAAAAUAUUCCACUAGCAUUCCACCAAGCAUUCCACUGUGGUGGCACAAUGGUUAGAAUGCAGUACUGCCAGCUACAUCUCCUGACUGCCAGCUGCCAGCAAUUGGACAGUUUGAUUCUCACCAGUUCAAGGUUGACUCAGCCUUCCAUCCUUCCAAGACUGAAUGAAGAUACAUAAAGAGAUGGAGACAACUUG